Molecule: ribosomal RNA, 640 nt
Filed under: Escherichia coli
Lineage: Bacteria; Pseudomonadati; Pseudomonadota; Gammaproteobacteria; Enterobacterales; Enterobacteriaceae
Description: bacterial SSU rRNA
Rfam family: Bacterial small subunit ribosomal RNA
Source: RNAcentral
GAGCUAACGCGUUAAGUCGACCGCCUGGGGAGUACGGCCGCAAGGUUAAAACUCAAAUGAAUUGACGGGGGCCCGCACAAGCGGUGGAGCAUGUGGUUUAAUUCGAUGCAACGCGAAGAACCUUACCUGGUCUUGACAUCCACGGAAGUUUUCAGAGAUGAGAAUGUGCCUUCGGGAACCGUGAGACAGGUGCUGCAUGGCUGUCGUCAGCUCGUGUUGUGAAAUGUUGGGUUAAGUCCCGCAACGAGCGCAACCCUUAUCCUUUGUUGCCAGCGGUCCGGCCGGGAACUCAAAGGAGACUGCCAGUGAUAAACUGGAGGAAGGUGGGGAUGACGUCAAGUCAUCAUGGCCCUUACGACCAGGGCUACACACGUGCUACAAUGGCGCAUACAAAGAGAAGCGACCUCGCGAGAGCAAGCGGACCUCAUAAAGUGCGUCGUAGUCCGGAUUGGAGUCUGCAACUCGACUCCAUGAAGUCGGAAUCGCUAGUAAUCGUGGAUCAGAAUGCCACGGUGAAUACGUUCCCGGGCCUUGUACACACCGCCCGUCACACCAUGGGAGUGGGUUGCAAAAGAAGUAGGUAGCUUAACCUUCGGGAGGGCGCUUACCACUUUGUGAUCCAUGACUGGGGUGAAGUCGU